CCUACGGGAGGCUGCAGUGGGGAAUAUUGCACAAUGGGCGAAAGCCUGAUGCAGCAACGCCGCGUGAGCGAUGAAGGCCUUCGGGUCGUAAAGCCCUGUCCUCAAGGAAGAUAAUGACGGUACUUGAGGAGGAAGCCCCGGCUAACUACGUGCCAGCAGCCGCGGUAAUACGUAGGGGGCUAGCGUUAUCCGGAAUUACUGGGUGAAAGGGGUGCGUAGGCGGUUUCUUAAGUCAGAGGUGAAAGGCUAGGGCUCACCCGUAGGAAGCCUUUGAAACUGGGUAACUUGAGUGCAGGAGAGGCGGGUGGAAUUCCUAGUGUAGCGGUGAAAUGCGUAGAUAUUAGGAGGAACACCAGUUGCGAAGGCGGCCUUCUGGACUGUAACUGACGCUGAGGCACGAAAGCGUGGGGAGCAAACAGGAUUAGAUACCCCAGUAGUC
Molecule: ribosomal RNA, 439 nt
Filed under: uncultured bacterium
Lineage: Bacteria
Description: partial 16S ribosomal RNA
Rfam family: Bacterial small subunit ribosomal RNA
Source: RNAcentral